GGAGAGUUGGCUGAGUGGUCGAAGGCGCACGAUUGGAAAUCGUGUGUGCGUGAUGAGCGCACCUAGGGUUCAAAUCCCUAACUCUCCGCCA
This 91-nucleotide transfer RNA is filed under the name Agathobaculum sp. Its description in RNAcentral is "tRNA-Ser". It matches the Rfam family "tRNA". Rfam says of the family: Transfer RNA (tRNA) molecules are approximately 80 nucleotides in length. Lineage: Bacteria; Bacillati; Bacillota; Clostridia; Eubacteriales; Butyricicoccaceae. The record is from RNAcentral. RNAcentral also lists the same sequence under 1 other name.